This 1339-nucleotide ribosomal RNA is filed under the name Salmonella enterica subsp. enterica serovar Enteritidis. Its description in RNAcentral is "partial 23S ribosomal RNA". It matches the Rfam family "Bacterial large subunit ribosomal RNA", at positions 1546 to 2861 of the family's 2925-position model. The record is from RNAcentral. Lineage: Bacteria; Pseudomonadati; Pseudomonadota; Gammaproteobacteria; Enterobacterales; Enterobacteriaceae.
CACUUUAACACUGAGGCGUGACGACGAGGCACUACGGUGCUGAAGCAACAAAUGCCCUGCUUCCAGGAAAAGCCUCUAAGCAUCAGGUAACAUCAAAUCGUACCCCAAACCGACACAGGUGGUCAGGUAGAGAAUACCAAGGCGCUUGAGAGAACUCGGGUGAAGGAACUAGGCAAAAUGGUGCCGUAACUUCGGGAGAAGGCACGCUGACACGUAGGUGAAGUGAUUUACUCAUGGAGCUGAAGUCAGUCGAAGAUACCAGCUGGCUGCAACUGUUUAUUAAAAACACAGCACUGUGCAAACACGAAAGUGGACGUAUACGGUGUGACGCCUGCCCGGUGCCGGAAGGUUAAUUGAUGGGGUCAGCGCAAGCGAAGCUCCUGAUCGAAGCCCCGGUAAACGGCGGCCGUAACUAUAACGGUCCUAAGGUAGCGAAAUUCCUUGUCGGGUAAGUUCCGACCUGCACGAAUGGCGUAAUGAUGGCCAGGCUGUCUCCACCCGAGACUCAGUGAAAUUGAACUCGCUGUGAAGAUGCAGUGUACCCGCGGCAAGACGGAAAGACCCCGUGAACCUUUACUAUAGCUUGACACUGAACAUUGAGCCUUGAUGUGUAGGAUAGGUGGGAGGCUUUGAAGUGUGGACGCCAGUCUGCAUGGAGCCGACCUUGAAAUACCACCCUUUAAUGUUUGAUGUUCUAACGUGGACCCGUUACCCGGGUUGCGGACAGUGUCUGGUGGGUAGUUUGACUGGGGCGGUCUCCUCCUAAAGAGUAACGGAGGAGCACGAAGGUUGGCUAAUCCUGGUCGGACAUCAGGAGGUUAGUGCAAUGGCAUAAGCCAGCUUGACUGCGAGCGUGACGGCGCGAGCAGGUGCGAAAGCAGGUCAUAGUGAUCCGGUGGUUCUGAAUGGAAGGGCCAUCGCUCAACGGAUAAAAGGUACUCCGGGGAUAACAGGCUGAUACCGCCCAAGAGUUCAUAUCGACGGCGGUGUUUGGCACCUCGAUGUCGGCUCAUCACAUCCUGGGGCUGAAGUAGGUCCCAAGGGUAUGGCUGUUCGCCAUUUAAAGUGGUACGCGAGCUGGGUUUAGAACGUCGUGAGACAGUUCGGUCCCUAUCUGCCGUGGGCGCUGGAGAACUGAGGGGGGCUGCUCCUAGUACGAGAGGACCGGAGUGGACGCAUCACUGGUGUUCGGGUUGUCAUGCCAAUGGCACUGCCCGGUAGCUAAAUGCGGAAGAGAUAAGUGCUGAAAGCAUCUAAGCACGAAACUUGCCCCGAGAUGAGUUCUCCCUGAGACUUAAAGUCUCCUGAAGGAACGUUGAAGACGACGACGUUGAUAGGC